This is a long non-coding RNA of Myxocyprinus asiaticus (Chinese sucker), 1851 nucleotides long. RefSeq lists it as uncharacterized. The record is from RefSeq and is a predicted model, not a curated record. Lineage: Eukaryota; Metazoa; Chordata; Actinopteri; Cypriniformes; Catostomidae. The transcript is spliced from 5 exons.
ACACUUUUCGGUGUGCAGGCGCACGGGCUGCUUGACAAGGUUGAGUCCAUUUAUUGCCCUCAUCUGAAAUGGAGACUGUGUCUGCUGUCAUUUUUUAUAAAGAAACAUACCGUUCCUUCCGUUAAACUCAUUUAACAACCUGUUUAAGCUGAUUUAAAUGAAUCGGUAGACUUUGGACAUACACAAAUAAUAGCCAUGGAGAAGAGGUCAUACUGCUGGUUUGUGAUCUUUUGUUUAAUUGUAGCUGCAAAUCUGAGCGUGUUGUCAUAUACACACAUUUGAAAGGAAUUGGCGAUAAAACUCAAAGAUGACAUAGAGCUCUCUAAAGCACAAAUCAAAAAAGUAGAAUUAAGUAUAAUACAUUUUGAAUCGGCACUUAAAUAUGCGAAGAAGCGAUUGAACACCACUGGAAAUGAGGUUAAGAAUCUUGAGGUUGAGCUGAAGGAAUUAGCUGUCUUUCAGCAGGACAAAGCCAAAAAGGUUAAAGAAUGCAAGUAUUUUUUGGAGAGCGUCAAAACUGAACUUGACAUAAGGGACAAGGAGAAGACUGACAAUGAUGGUGCAUUUGCUGCUCUUCAGGACAAGUGGAAUGCAACAAGUAAUGGCUUUAAACAGCAGCUCAACAGGCUUAGUCCUCUUUGUGAAUAUUUGAAGAACGGUACAGAUGCAAAUGAGCUUUGCCCUCCAGUUCAUAAUUACACUUUAGGAGCUACGGUAUAGUCUUGAGAAGAACACCAGCAAUCCAUAUCCAAGACAGUGUUUUAAAAAGGAAAUCCUAAAAUUCAAGUUACACAUUUGUGGCCUCAUUUACAAUAAAUCCUUAAAUACCUAAUUAUCUAUAUUAGCUUUGUGUACUCAUUAAUGAAAAUGAACCUUUACUUACUAUUCUAUUAAUGUGUGCAUUUACAUCUCUACACUAGACAUUCUGGGUUACCUUUAACAUUUUUAUUGCAGUCCUUUGUGUAAUUGAGUCUUUAUGAUAAAUUGUGUGUUAUAUUAUACCUAAAUUGUAAACUGUUUUGGACAAAAGCAUCUGCUACAUGAAUAAAAGUAACAGUCAAUUUAUGAAUAUUCUCAAAAACAACUGAAGAUGAAGAUUACAUUUGUAUUUAGUCAGUUUUAUUACAGGUCUUAAAAACAUCAGAGAGUAUUAAUAUAUUUUGACUUAGUAUAACAGUUGCUUCAGUAUGAAUACAGUAUCUUCAUUGGUCUGGAUAAAUGGCCUAGUGAAAAUCUUAUUUAAUCAGUGAAUCCUAUGAUUGUUUAUACAGUGAUAAGUUUUCAUGAUAUAUGAUUUGUGAUAUAUUCAAAUGAAAUUAAAAAAUGCAUUUCUUAAAGGAAUAUUCCAGGUUCAAGUUAAGCUCAAUCGACAGCAUUUGUUGCAUAGUGUUUAUUACUACAAAAAUAAUUUGGACUUCUCCCUCCUUUUCUUAAAAAAAAAGCAAAAAUUGAAGUAAAAGUGAGGCACUUAUGAUGGAAGGGAAUGGAGCACAUUUUUGGAGGGUUUAAAGGCAAAAAUGUGAAGCUUAUCAUUUUAUAAAAGCACUUACAUUAUUUCUUCUGUUAAAACUUGUGUAUUUUUUGAGCUGUUAAGUUGUUAAAAUUGUCAUUUUAGGGUUUCUGGUGUUAUGUCGUCAUGGCAACGAAGUUGUAAAAUUGAAUAUAACUUUGCACAGAAAAAGUUCUUAAGUGAUUUUAUCACACUUAAGGCAUGUUAACAUGCAUAUUGUUUACGUCUUGUGGCUAUACUUUUGAAAACAGUAUUUUAACAUUUACAGAUUGGCCCCAUUCACUUCCAUUGUAAGUGCCUCAUUGUAACCCAGAGUUUUGCUUUUUUUGCUUUUUUUUUUU